This 1373-nucleotide ribosomal RNA is filed under the name Chryseobacterium sp. WR12. RNAcentral's name for it is "16S ribosomal RNA". It matches the Rfam family "Bacterial small subunit ribosomal RNA". The record is from RNAcentral. Lineage: Bacteria; Pseudomonadati; Bacteroidota; Flavobacteriia; Flavobacteriales; Weeksellaceae.
CAUGCAAGCCGAGCGGUAGAGAUUCUUCGGAAUCUUGAGAGCGGCGUACGGGUGCGGAACACGUGUGCAACCUGCCUUUAUCAGGGAGAUAGCCUUUCGAAAGGAAGAUUAAUACCCCAUAAUAUAUUAAGUGGCAUCACUUGAUAUUGAAAACUACGGUGGAUAGAGAUGGGCACGCGCAAGAUUAGAUAGUUGGUGAGGUAACGGCUCACCAAGUCUACGAUCUUUAGGGGGCCUGAGAGGGUGAUCCCCCACACUGGUACUGAGACACGGACCAGACUCCUACGGGAGGCAGCAGUGAGGAAUAUUGGACAAUGGGUGAAAGCCUGAUCCAGCCAUCCCGCGUGAAGGACGACGGCCCUAUGGGUUGUAAACUUCUUUUGUAUAGGGAUAAACCUAGAUACGUGUAUCUAGCUGAAGGUACUAUACGAAUAAGCACCGGCUAACUCCGUGCCAGCAGCCGCGGUAAUACGGAGGGUGCAAGCGUUAUCCGGAUUUAUUGGGUUUAAAGGGUCCGUAGGCGGAUCUGUAAGUCAGUGGUGAAAUCUCACAGCUUAACUGUGAAACUGCCAUUGAUACUGCAGGUCUUGAGUGUUGUUGAAGUAGCUGGAAUAAGUAGUGUAGCGGUGAAAUGCAUAGAUAUUACUUAGAACACCAAUUGCGAAGGCAGGUUACUAAGCAACAACUGACGCUGAUGGACGAAAGCGUGGGGAGCGAACAGGAUUAGAUACCCUGGUAGUCCACGCCGUAAACGAUGCUAACUCGUUUUUGGAUUUUCGGAUUCAGAGACUAAGCGAAAGUGAUAAGUUAGCCACCUGGGGAGUACGUUCGCAAGAAUGAAACUCAAAGGAAUUGACGGGGGCCCGCACAAGCGGUGGAUUAUGUGGUUUAAUUCGAUGAUACGCGAGGAACCUUACCAAGGCUUAAAUGGGAAAUGACAGGUUUAGAAAUAGACUUUUCUUCGGACAUUUUUCAAGGUGCUGCAUGGUUGUCGUCAGCUCGUGCCGUGAGGUGUUAGGUUAAGUCCUGCAACGAGCGCAACCCCUGUCACUAGUUGCCAUCAUUAAGUUGGGGACUCUAGUGAGACUGCCUACGCAAGUAGAGAGGAAGGUGGGGAUGACGUCAAAUCAUCACGGCCCUUACGCCUUGGGCCACACACGUAAUACAAUGGCCAGUACAGAGGGCAGCUACACAGCGAUGUGAUGCAAAUCUCGAAAGCUGGUCUCAGUUCGGAUUGGAGUCUGCAACUCGACUCUAUGAAGCUGGAAUCGCUAGUAAUCGCGCAUCAGCCAUGGCGCGGUGAAUACGUUCCCGGGCCUUGUACACACCGCCCGUCAAGCCAUGGAAGUCUGGGGUACCUGAAGUCGGUGACC